UUGCAUUCUGGGAGUCACGUGAAGGAGGGCACUGUAGUGCUGCGGCGGGCCUGACCAAGGUCCCCGUUUCCCACAGGCUGCGUACGGAGUGGAGGUCUACAGGGUGGGUCGUGUUCUAGAAUAGGGUAGGCGACCGUCUCCAAACUGCUCUGGACCAGGCUCUGAGGCAUCAGAUGGUUUACCUACCAAGAUCUAUUCAUAGAGAGUCUGGGGGAAGAAAGUACUUGAGUAAGAAGAAAGCAGCAUCAUGGAGGACAGGUAGCUAAGCUGAUGGGUGGGAAUCACCAGCUUUGGCUACUGUGUUUGUCAGUUCACUGAGAAUGGACCCAACACAGAAGAAAGACAAGGGAUGGAAACAAAAGGAGAGUCCAGAUGAUGUGAUUUGAAUCCCUGGAUAUCAGUAUGCCAGGAACCACAUUCUUUGAAGCUGAGAAAGAGAGAAUAAAUCCUGCAAACCCCACAGCAUGUUAAGGGAUUCCAGCCCAGGAUCCUUAUUCUGUAAGGCACAUUUUCCUCGCAGGGCCAGGUGGUGUCUCCUGAACACCUUCUAGUCCCCAGACCUCUUCAGGAAACUGCAGUUAUAGAAAACAAAGCAGCAUUGCUCAGUUUGAAUGGUAAAGGAUGGAAUUUUUGCUCUGGUCUUCUGGCCACUACCAAGUGUUUCCAUUUCCUCCAGAUUGAAACUCUUUUUGGGAUGAGCCUUUGAUUGGAUCAGCCAGUCUCCAUCAAGUACUGAGUACCUUAUUAGUGUCAACUGUGAGUGGAGUAGCCUCCAG
RNAcentral lists this long non-coding RNA (776 nucleotides) under Equus caballus (horse). RNAcentral's name for it is "lncRNA (ENSECAG00000034390.2)". The record is from RNAcentral. Lineage: Eukaryota; Metazoa; Chordata; Mammalia; Perissodactyla; Equidae.